This 1433-nucleotide ribosomal RNA is filed under the name uncultured organism. RNAcentral's name for it is "16S ribosomal RNA". It matches the Rfam family "Bacterial small subunit ribosomal RNA". The record is from RNAcentral.
CAGGCUUAACACAUGCAAGUCGAGGGGCAGCAUGGUCUUAGCUUGCUAAGGCCGAUGGCGACCGGCGCACGGGUGAGUAACACGUAUCCAACCUGCCGUCUACUCUUGGACAGCCUUCUGAAAGGAAGAUUAAUACAAGAUGGCAUCAUGAGUCCGCAUGUUCACAUGAUUAAAGGUAUUCCGGUAGACGAUGGGGAUGCGUUCCAUUAGAUAGUAGGCGGGGUAACGGCCCACCUAGUCUUCGAUGGAUAGGGGUUCUGAGAGGAAGGUCCCCCACAUUGGAACUGAGACACGGUCCAAACUCCUACGGGAGGCAGCAGUGAGGAAUAUUGGUCAAUGGGCGAGAGCCUGAACCAGCCAAGUAGCGUGAAGGAUGACUGCCCUAUGGGUUGUAAACUUCUUUUAUAAAGGAAUAAAGUCGGGUAUGGAUACCCGUUUGCAUGUACUUUAUGAAUAAGGAUCGGCUAACUCCGUGCCAGCAGCCGCGGUAAUACGGAGGAUCCGAGCGUUAUCCGGAUUUAUUGGGUUUAAAGGGAGCGUAGAUGGAUGUUUAAGUCAGUUGUGAAAGUUUGCGGCUCAACCGUAAAAUUGCAGUUGAUACUGGAUAUCUUGAGUGCAGUUGAGGCAGGCGGAAUUCGUGGUGUAGCGGUGAAAUGCUUAGAUAUCACGAAGAACUCCGAUUGCGAAGGCAGCCUGCUAAGCUGCAACUGACAUUGAGGCUCGAAAGUGUGGGUAUCAAACAGGAUUAGAUACCCUGGUAGUCCACACGGUAAACGAUGAAUACUCGCUGUUUGCGAUAUACUGCAAGCGGCCAAGCGAAAGCGUUAAGUAUUCCACCUGGGGAGUACGCCGGCAACGGUGAAACUCAAAGGAAUUGACGGGGGCCCGCACAAGCGGAGGAACAUGUGGUUUAAUUCGAUGAUACGCGAGGAACCUUACCCGGGCUUAAAUUGCAGAUGAAUUACGGUGAAAGCUGUAAGCCGCAAGGCAUCUGUGAAGGUGCUGCAUGGUUGUCGUCAGCUCGUGCCGUGGGGUGUCGGCUUAAGUGCCAUAACGAGCGCAACCCUUGUUGUCAGUUACUAACAGGUUCCGCUGAGGACGCUGACAAGACUGCCAUCGUAAGAUGUGAGGAAGGUGGGGAUGACGUCAAAUCAGCACGGCCCUUACGUCCGGGGCUACACACGUGUUACAAUGGGGGGUACAGAGGGCCGGUACCACGCGAGUGGAUGCCAAUCCCCAAAACCUCUCUCAGUUCGGACUGGAGUCUGCAACCCGACUCCACGAAGCUGGAUUCUCUAGUAAUCGCGCAUCAGCCACGGCGCGGUGAAUACGUUCCCGGGCCUUGUACACACCGCCCGUCAAGCCAUGGGAGCCGGGGGUACCUGAAGUGCGUAACCGCGAGGAGCGCCCUAGGGUAAAACUGGUGACUGGGG